AGUUCGAGACUGUGACUUAAUUUCGAUCGAUUUCGAUUUAAAAUCGAAAUCGUGACACCCCUACUCAGCAGUCGUAUAUCCGUGAAGUUAAGCAAAACAGCAGCCUGCAGUAAGUUUAUGGUCACUCAGCAGUCGUAUAUCCGUGAAGUUAAGCAAAACAGCAGCCUGCAGUAAGUUUAUGGUCACUCAGCAGUCUUAUAUCCCUGAAGUUAAGCAAAACAGCAGCCUGCAGUAAGUUUAUGGUAACUCAGCAGUCGUAUGUUGAACCGGACUUCUGAUUAAAACGUCCAGUGAACGACAAUGAUGACGAACAACCCACCAUAACCUUAAACAGGCAUAUGAAACACACCUGAACAGCAUGUCAUUAAAGAACCCACGAAACUCAUCCGCUUCUCUAGAAGUUCGAACAACAACGAGCGCCGCCGAGUAUAUGGCGAUUAGUUCCGCUGUCCACUCUCCAGCUCUUGCACACCGUGCCGGAACAACAACAAUGACAUGACGUCACGUGCAAUGCCCUCCCAGGUUACGUACACCAACCGCCUUUAUAGUCCUCAUAACUAGAGCUAAAUCACCAUCCAGCCGAGCGUUAAUAGGCACAACUAAUGCCUACUGCUACACAGUGAAAGAAUGUGAUGUGAAAAAGAUGGGUCAGGGUAGCUACUAUCAUUUUGGCCUUACAAUUGCAAUAAUUUCAGAAUUUAAAAUUACAAGCGAGAGUGAACUGACAACAGAUACAUUGACUGUUCAUGUGAAUGUUGAUGGAUUACCUCUUUCUAGGAGCUCUAAUAUGCAGUUUUGGCCUAAAUUAGCUCAAAUAGUUGAAUUACCAAAGGCAAAUGUGUUUAUAAAUAGUGUAUAUGCAGGUCCCUGUAAACCUGAAUCGCCUACAUGCAUGAUUUUAUAGAAGAUUUAAAAGUUGUCACAAGAGUUGGUGUAACUUUUAAUGGUAAACACUACAAUGUACCACUGCCAGAUGCGUUUAUCUGUGACACCCCAGCAAGAGCCUUUUUAAAAUGUGUCAAAGGACAUGGUGGCUACAGUUUUUGUGAGCGUUGCACGCAGUAUGGUAUUUAUCUUGAUGGUAAAGUUGUAUUUCCUGAAAUGGAUUCAAGCCUAAGAACAGACACUCAGUUUGAUCAAAUGUUUGAUGAAGAGCACCACCACUCUAAAUCACCUCUCCAGGGCCUAGGCAUUGGCAUGGUUUCCAGUUUUCCUUUGGACUAUAUGCAUUUAGUUUGCUUGGGCAUUGUCCGUAAAUUAAUUGCUCUGUGGUUCAAGGCACCAUUGCAGUGUCGGGUUUCAUCUUCUACUCUAUCUGCUAUCUCUGAUCACUUGAAACUGUGUAGACCAAGCUUACCCUGAAGCUUCUCCAGAAAGCCACGUUCUUUGACUGAGUACAGCCAAUGGAAGGCUACAGAAUUCAGGCAGUUUUUAUUAUAUACAGGGCCUGUUGUGCUUUUUCAAAGAUUACCACGUCAACAGUACAAAAACUUUCUUGUGUUGUCAUCUGCUAUGAGAAUACUUUUGUCUCCUAUGUGUAGAGAAUUCUAUGGGUAUGCCCAAAAAUUAUUAAGAUGUUGUGUUACCAACUUUGAGAAGAUAUAUGGGACAAAAUAUCUGGUUAACAAUACACACAGUCUUUUACAUUUAGCAGAUAAUGCUAAAAAGUAUGGCCCUCUGGAUUCAGUUUCAUGUUUUCCAUUUGAGAAUUAUUUGGGACAGUUGAAAUAAAUUGUGAGAAGACCACAGAAUCCUGUGCAACAAUUUGUCAGGCAUGUUUAUGAAAGGCAAUUAUUUGCUCACAUGUCCGAAUAAAUGCCUGAAAAUGUUAAACUGACACAGCCUCAUGAAUUUGGACCAAUGCUGACAGAAUUUCAGCUGCAUCAGUAUGUUCAAUACAAAAUGUUCAAACACAAAGACACAAUGAUUUCAAGCUCCAUUGGUACCAAUUGUUUUGAACUUGAGGGAAGAGUUGGGAUUGAGCGGAACAUUGUGCAUUCCACUGUGACUGGAGGAACACAUGUGGUGUAUGAACUUUUUCAGACAGGGACAUGUUUUUUCAACUACCCCCUUGAUUCUACAUCACUUGGAGUCUGUCUGCUAUCAAAACUGUCUGGUCAGCUUUCCAGUGCUCCAGUGACAGACUUCACUAAACUGCUGCUUUUAUUGCCUCUUUAUCAUAUGUUUGUGGCUUUGCCUCAGCUACACAGUACAUGAUUUAUUGAACUCUGCAGGGUGUCCUCGUUCAGUGUUGUGGAGUUUGUGGAUGAGGUUGACUCCGAUGGCUGCAAGAAAAUGGACAUAAUUCCAUUCAAGUGGUUCAAGGGCACAGAGAGAAAAGUAUGCUGGUGGCCACCAGUCUCACUAUCCAAUGUAACGAAGGCUGUAAAAGAGCACGCACCACCAGCCAGCAACUGGAUAGCGUGUAACGUGCUUGUAAUGGGAAGCGCAGCAUCUUAUGCCGAAGCUAGGGUUAAACUCCACCAAGCUGAGUAUUCAUCAGACUUGACAGACACAGAAAAUAUCUCAAGAAAAAAAAAGGCCAAGUGCAAAAAUCCUCCAGAGUCAACUGAGCACUCAACUGCAAUCAAGUGAGAAUUCAGAUUAUUCAGAGGAGCUUCCACCCACUCCACCAAACCAACUCCUUUGGCCAGCAGUGAGAGAAGUGAGCAAUUACUUCCAAAACCCCACUGCCCAACGAGGCACCAGCCCCACAGCUACAAUUACCAGUCCCACAGCCCGAGGAGUUGCCAGCUCCCCAGCUACAGUUACCAGCCCGACGGCCAGAGGAGUGUCCAGGCCCGCAGCCCGAGGAGUUGCCAGCUCCCCAGCUACAGUUACCAGCCCGAUGGCCCGAGGAGUGUCCAGCCCCACAGACCGAGGAGUUGCCAUCUCCCCAGCUACAGUUACCAGCCCGACGGCCCGAGGAGUGUCCAGCCCCACAGCCCGAGGAGUUGCCAGCUCCCCAGCUACAGUUACCAGCCCGACGGCCCGAGGAGUGUCCAGCCCCACAGCCUGAGGAGUUGCCAGCCCAACUUGUGAAGCCAUGUUCACUAAAAUUCUAACAGUUUUAAAAGAAGUGAAGGAGACACUACGUGUUCAUGGAAAGAUGUUGAAUGCCCUGCUGAAAAAGCAAGACGGAUUAAUGGUAGAGGUUCCUGAAGGAGUGGACUUACCUCUGAAAACCCAGGCUGACCUUGAGGCUCUUGAUCAGAAGCUGGGGGAUCGUAGUGUCAUGUCUGCUGUUGUUGCCAUGGUGGUAGAUGUGGGUGGCGCAAGUAUAGAUGAUGCAACGAGAAGAAUGAUGAAAUACGUCUUUUUAAAUGAGCUGGCAUUGGAGUAGAAUUUGUUUGGCCGUCAUGGGAAAAAAAGUUUAAAGAUUUGCGUAUUUUCAACGUUGUGUAUGAGGCUCUUAAGAACAACCCCCUGACAUCAAAGGUCAACCAGCAAGAAGCUGAGAGAGCACUGUCAAAAUGGUUUACUGGAGCAAGAGACAGAGGAGGACAAAGGGCAUCAAGAAUGCACCAAAAGAUGGCUGCAGUUUAAAUUUGACUGAAAAGGUUAUAAGGUUAUAAGUAGCUGCAUCUAGCUGUUGUAGUUCUUGUAUUUUUUUCUGACAAUCGUGUUCUCAGAUAUGGUGGGUUGGCAGCUUUCCCAAACACUUAUGGCUGGUUCUAAAAUAGUUUUGUGCCUUUGUGACAUAAACAUGACAUGAUGGUUAGUUAAAUAAAGCUGGAUUUUGAACAUAUUUCAGUCUCACUGUGUUCUCUACUGCUUUAAAACUUGUAUGUGUGGUGUUGCUUCUCGUUUAGAUGGAACGCAGAUGAUCCCUAGUUGGGCCACAUGCAUAUGAUUCCUAGUUGGGCCCCACCUACAGCCCGGAAGAUCCUGCAUAAAACCUAAAUGAGUAAGUUGCUUGGGCCAACAUGGAACCCGUGAACAAACCCACUUUCAGCCCAUAUUUCAGCACAUGCAGUAACCUUGUAGUACCCACAAAAAAAAAAAAAAAAACUAAAGCUGGGACCACGAUGGGUCUUAUGCAUGUUGCCCAGUAAGGGGCCCACCUGUUUACAAGUGCCAUUCUAUAUGAAACCCAUGUGGGCAGUUGGCAUGGGGCCAUUAUUGAACCUGCAGAAAAUCCCAUAUAGAGCCCAUUUUUCAGCCCAUUUCAAACCAGCAUGGGCCCCACAUACUAAUACUGACAGCUUGGACCGAGCUGGGUUUUGUGCAUGUUGCCCACUUGGGUCCCGUCUAGUACAAAGUGCAAUCCUACAUGAAAUCCACCUGAACAAUAAACAUAGGGCCAUUAUGGAACCCACUGACAAUCCCAUACAGAGCCCAUUUUUCAGCCCAUUUCAAAACCACAGGGGCCCCACAUACAAAUAUCAACUGGGUUAAAGCUGGGAUCGAUAUGGGUCUUGUGCAUGUUGCCCACUUGGGUACCACCUAGUACCAAGUGCAACCCUACAUGAAAUCCAUCUGGGCAAUUAACAUGGGGCCAUUAUGUAACCUACGGACAAUCCCACACAGAGCCCAUUUUUCAGCCCAUUUCAAAACCACAUGGGCCCCACAUACAAAUGUUGACUGCGAUAAAGCUGGGACCAAUAUGGGUUUUGUGCAUGUUGCCCACUUGGGUCCCAACUAGUACCAAGUACAAUCCUACAUGAAAUUCAUCUGGGCAAUUAACAUGGGGCUAUUAUGUAACCCGCGGACAAUCCUACAUGGGGCCCAUUUUUCAGCCCAUUUCACAACCAUAUGGGCCCCACAUAAAGAUGUUGGCUGGGUACUAGAUCCUGGGUGGCAUGCAAUUGAUGAGGAAUGUCCCCACUGCAAAACAUCAGACCACACUGCUUUAGGUACAAAGAGACGGCCUGCAGGCCCAUUACCUGGGUCAGCCUCCUGCUGCUGUGCCUCUCUGACAAUGGACUCUAUUCCCCAUCUGACUGGUGCCACAAUCUUGGAGGGGGGAAUGAUCCUUACUGGGCUUGAGAUCAUGUUGGGUGGGUCAAACUGCCUGGAAAGAGAAUCAGGCUUUUGAUUCUUUGAACCUGGUCGAUAGGAGAGAACAAAAUCAAAGAGGUUAAAGAAUAAAGCCCAUUGGACCUGGCAAGAGUUAAGUCUCUUGGCGUCUUGGAUAUAGGCAUGAUUCUUGUGAUCUGUCCAUACAUCAAAGGAGUGUCCUCCAACCAGUGCCUCCAUUCCCCCAAUGCUAGUUUGACCGCUACAUCUCCCUGUCACCAAUAUCAUAAUUACUUUCCGCAGAUGAGAGCUUGUGUGAAAAGAAAGCACAUGGAUGCAACCUGUUGUCUCUUAUGGCUCGCUGGGAAAGUACAGCUCCUACUCCUACCUCUGAAGCAUCCACCUCCACUAUGAAGGGUGACUCAGGUUCUGGGAUGGUAAAUAUGGAUGCUGAGGUGAAUCUGUUUUUCAGUUUGCAGAAAGCCUUUUCGGCCUCAUCUGUACACAGGAAACCCUUAAUACUCUUUCUAGUAAGAGCCAUAAGUGGAGCAGCAAUUGCACUGAAAUUUCGAAUGAACUUUCAAUAGAAAUUGGAAAAGCCAAGGAAACGUUGUAACUGCUUGGCGGAAGUGGGAUGAGGACAAUCUCUAACUGCUUGGGUUUUUGCAGGGUCCAUCUGGAUAUGACCUUUAGACACAAUGGAACCCAUAAAGGAAACCUUUUGAACAUGAAACUCACUCUUCUCCAGUUUGACAAAGAGAUGGUUUCUCAGGAGUUGCUGGAGGACAAGGCGAACAUGCUGCACAUGUUCCUGGGGGUUCUUGGAAAAUAUAAGAAUGUCAUCCAAGUAUACAAAGUCUGUUUAGCAUGUCUCUUAGCACAUCAUUAAUCAAAGUCUGAAAUACUGCAGGAGCAUUUACCAAACCAAAAGGCAUAACUUGAUACUCAUAAUGGCCAGUGGGAGUAUUAAAAGCAGUCUUCCAUUCAUCACCAGUACGGAUGCGGACCAGAUGAUAUGCAUUGCUAAGGUCCAGUUUAGUAAAUAUAGUAGCCCCCUGGAGCAACUAAAAGGCAGUAAGAGAGGAUCCAGUGUGGCUUGUCUCCAAAAAUUUGAUUGAUGAGGGUCAUAAAAGCCAUCUGUUCUGGACACCUGUUUGUACACGCCCUCCCCUCCCUGUACAGUCCAGUGACCUAAAUAUGAACUUAUGAACCUAAGAAGGAAUUUCGGAGGGAGGGAAAAUGUGUCGGGAUCUAUGUGCUUUUUAAACUCUGAAAAUGGUGAAAUCAUGAAAAUGGUAUAAGGCAAGAUUUUAUUAAGGUUUUACAUACACAGUGCAUUUCAAGAAAAAGGUUAUAAACACAAACUAAAUGGAAACAAUGUAAAAACGGUGUUAAAGUUGUUACAAAUUAAAUAAAAAGAAAACUAGGUUACUGGUUAUUUAUCUAAAACAACCAAACAAGUCAAAAAACGUAUAUGUUUCAUUAAGCAACACAUGAAAAAGACGUGAGAGCUUGUAGCAUUACAAUUUAAAAAGGUGUUUUGUUUCCAGAUAGAAAACUAGGUUACAGAGUUUUAUAGCAUUUGUACCUUACCUCAAACUAAAAAAAAAGAAGCGAAUGUAAAGCAGCGAUACAAACCAGAAAAGUUGGUGUUUGUCACGUCGGGAUGAAAAGUUAAAA
Carassius auratus (goldfish) is the source of this 6639-nucleotide long non-coding RNA. RefSeq lists it as uncharacterized. The transcript is spliced from 5 exons. The record is from RefSeq and is a predicted model, not a curated record. Lineage: Eukaryota; Metazoa; Chordata; Actinopteri; Cypriniformes; Cyprinidae.